ACUACUACAAAUCUCCUCCUCCUCCAUCUCCAUCUCCUCCACCCCCAUACUACUACAAGUCACCUCCUCCUCCAUCUCCAUCGCCGCCUGCACCUUACUAUUACAAAUCUCCACCACCACCUUCACCAUCUCCUCCUCCGCCUUACUACUAUAAGUCACCUCCUCCUCCAUCUCCUGUGCCUCAUCCACCUUACUAUUACAAAUCUCCACCGCCACCUUCACCAUCUCCUCCUCCGCCUUACUACUAUAAAUCACCUCCUCCCCCAUCUCCUGUGCCUCAUCCACCUUACUACUACAAGUCCCCGCCACCACCAGUGAAAUCUCCACCUUACUACUACAAUUCUCCUCCUCCACCAGUUGUAUAUCACCACCACCCCCAUCACCAGCUGGUCGUUAAGGUUGUAGGUAAAGUCUAUUUCUACAAAUGUUAUGACUGGGCAUACCCCGAAAAAUCUCAUAACAAGAAACACCUCAAAGGUAUGUUAUAAUUCAUAUAUACUUUAAUACUUCUUUUCUAUCCGUUUAUAGAUAUUAUUUCUAGUAUGAAAGUAUUCUCUCUUUUUAUUUUAUUGGGUUAUAGUUUAACUUUUAGUACUAUUUAAUUGAUGCAAUGUGCUUUUUCAUUACUUUUUGGAGAAGCAAAACGACUUUUCUAUAUAUACUUCUCUAAAACUCAGUUAAAAAAAAAAAAAAAAAAAAAAAAAAUUCAUGUUUCUAUUAUUUUAUCAAGGUCAACAAUAACUUUGCAUAAUUUUCCUUGUCUGAAAACGAUUUUGUUUAUUAUCAACAAAUGCAAUAUAUAUGACGAGAAUGGUGUAACUUUAAUUUUUAGAAGGGUUAGUUGUUAGUAGUAAUCUUAUAGUAAGACCAAUAAAUAACAUUUAAAACUACAAGUAUGCAAUUUGCUCUAUUGUUUUUUUAUGUAUGAAUUAUGAUUUGAGUUGUGUGUAUAUUUUAUUCAUGUUAACUUUUUAAAUUAUGAGACAGGAGCUGUUGUGGAAGUGACAUGCGAAGUAGGAAGUAAAACCAUAAAGGCAUAUGGUACAACAAAGAUCAAUGGAAAAUACAGUAUUACUGUGAAGGACUUUGAUUAUGUCAAAUAUGGAUCUGCAGUGUGCAAGGCUAAGCUCCAUGCUCCUCCUAAGGAUUCACCCUACAACAUCCCUACCUUGUUGAAUGAUGGAACUCACUUGUUUUUGAAGUCUGAGAACAAAUAUGAAGUUGUCCUCAAGGCUAAGCCAUUUGCUUAUGUUUCAAAGAAGUCAGAUGAAGAAUGUGAAAAACACAAUCACCACCACAAUCACAAACCUUCACCUACUCCAUAUUAUUACAACUCACCACCUCCUCCAUCAUCACCCACUUAUGUAUAUAAGUCUCCACCACCAUCACCAUAUUAUUACAAAUCUCCACCUCCACCAUCACCCACUUACAUAUAUAAGUCUCCUCCUCCACCUGCAUAUUAUUACAAGUCACCUCCUCCACCAUCACCAGUAUAUGUGUAUAAGUCUCCACCUCCACCAGCAUAUUAUUACAAAUCUCCACCCCCACCAUCACCUACUUAUGUCUAUAAGUCUCCACCUCCUCCUCCAUACUACUACAAGUCUCCACCCCCACCAUCACCAUCUCCUCCACCGCCUUACUAUUACAAAUCUCCUCCCCCACCCAAAGAGUUGCCACACCCUACUCCUUACUAUUAUAAAUCACCACCUCCACCAUCUCCAUCGCCACCACCUCCUUACUACUACAAGUCACCUCCACCACCAUCACCUUCUCCUCCUCCUCCAUACUACUACAAAUCCCCUCCCCCACCUAAAGAAUUGCCACACCCUACUCCUUACUACUAUAAAUCACCGCCUCCACCAUCUCCAUCACCACCACCUCCUUACUACUACAAGUCACCUCCACCACCAUCACCUUCCCCUCCUCCUCCAUACUACUACAAAUCCCCUCCACCACCGUCUCCAUCGCCUCCUCCUCCAUACUACUACAAGUCUCCUCCUCCUCCAGAAAAAUCGCCAGAACAUCCUCCUUACUACUACAAAUCUCCUCCUCCACCAUCACCAUCACCUCCUCCUCCAUACUACUACAAGAGUCCUCCACCACCAUCCCCAUCACCACCACCCACUUACUACUACAAAUCACCACCUCCACCAUCACCUUCACCACCGCCUCCUUACUAUUACAAGUCACCUCCACCACCAUCUCCAUCACCACCUCCUCCUUAUUAUUACAAAUCUCCUCCACCUCCCUCGCCUUCUCCACCACCUCCUUACUACUACAAGAGUCCUCCUCCACCAUCUCCCUCUCCUCCUCCUCCCUACUACUACAAAUCUCCUCCACCACCAUCACCGUCUCCCCCACCACCUUACCAUUACGUAAGCCCUCCUCCACCAUCCCCAUCUCCACCACCACCAUAUCACUAUACCUCACCACCUCCUCCAUCCCCAACUCCUACUCCCAC
RNAcentral lists this long non-coding RNA (2461 nucleotides) under Arachis ipaensis. RNAcentral's name for it is "long non-coding RNA (AIPA_LNC001092)". Lineage: Eukaryota; Viridiplantae; Streptophyta; Magnoliopsida; Fabales; Fabaceae. The record is from RNAcentral.